This 1317-nucleotide long non-coding RNA is filed under the name Brachypodium distachyon (stiff brome). RNAcentral's name for it is "long non-coding RNA (BDIS_LNC002807)". Lineage: Eukaryota; Viridiplantae; Streptophyta; Magnoliopsida; Poales; Poaceae. The record is from RNAcentral.
GUGAAACUUCAUUAGGCUUGGGAGUCACCUGGAAUUUAUAACUCUGCCAAGUCCCGAGGAAUUGUAGAUAAGCUAGAUAUGUUCCUUCCUUGGCUUAGUUUGCAGAACAUUUGGGUGUUUCUUUUCCAGUUUCGUACGUUGUGUGCUUGACUCGCGCUCUCUUUCACACUCAUGCGGUUAGAAGAAAAUAAUUGUAGAAAGGGGACCCAAAAAAAGUCCCUGGAAGAGAAGAAGAGGGAGAAAAAUAACCAAAAUAGGGACGGAGAAGCCCUAGUCUGCCGGUUUCAAGGAACACGCACAAACCCUCCUUUGAAAAUAUUCCCAAAUUAAACACGCCACUUGGAGAACCGGCGCGUAGCCAUGUUCCUGAAGAUCCUUCGGUUGUGCUCCUCCAGAGUCCCCACCAGGGUAGAUGAGGCGGCCGCUAAGGCUUCAAUUCUUUUAGCUUCCUUUGGAAGACCGAGGAGACACUACAACAAAACAUGCCUGUAGAGUCCUUUUUUUUAACACGCCAAUGUAUUUCGUCUCAACACCAAAUGAUGAACGCUAAGUAAAGACGUUUUUUGAAACGCUUUACACAUCGUCACAAUAAUCUCUUUAAAUUAGGAAUUGAUUAAAAAAAUACAUUUACGUUUAACAUAGAGACGAUAUUUGAGACGCUAUAUAGUAGUUGAUGAACUCAGAGAUGGGCGUAGCCGUUGGUGUGGACUAUAUAUCUGGCUCCAACCCUUGAAUCAGCCACCACAGCUCUUGCGUGAAGCUACUGUCGUUCCAAAGGUGGAGAAUCAUGUUGGUAUGGACACCGCAGAGUUGACAGAUCAGGUUGUGGAGUCAUCCCCGGAUUGCAAGGUUAUUGGCUCUGAGGAUUUUGUUGUGAGCCACCGUACGUCCAAGCGAAAGCUUGGUAAAACUUUUAAGAAUCAAGAUUUUCGUGUGACCAUCAUUGUAUAUAUUUUUUCUAUGAAAUCCAAGAGAGGGAUUAUCAUUUUGUCAACGCUUAACUGUUUCCAACUUCAUAAAAAAAUAAAAAGAAAAAGAAAACCCAUAAAUGGAAGGAAGCGGAGACUAGGGACGGACGGCUCAGGACAACCUUCCACAUGAGACGGACGGCCGAGGAAGCAGGACAGAGCGUCUAAAAGCCUAUAAAUUAAGCCUCCAACCCUAGCCUCGCCCUCCCCCCAAAACCCUAGCCUCCGCAUCUCCGCGGCCGCCGCAAUCGCCAUCGGCCCGCGCGACCCUAGCUAUUCCUCGCCGCCCAACGAAGACAUAUACAGCCGUCGGCCGUCUCCCUCCUCCUCCCCCCCUCUCGCCGCCCAC